RNAcentral lists this unclassified non-coding RNA (250 nucleotides) under plant metagenome. RNAcentral's name for it is "partial contains small subunit ribosomal RNA, internal transcribed spacer 1, and 5.8S ribosomal RNA". The record is from RNAcentral.
GUAGGUGAACCUGCGGAGGGAUCAUUAACACGUAUCCAAAACGUUCAAACCCAAACCGUGCUCUUUUGUUCCCAUAGGGGGAGGUGACUCGUAAGCCACAGAUGGAUUCUUUUUCUUCUUCUUCGGAGGAGGGGAGGGACUACUUACAGUCUAUCGAUCCUUUGAGAUCAGCCGAUUCUCUAUGGUGUAUUAAAGCCAUCUGGUUACUAGUACCAAACCGGUUUCGACCCGGAGUCUAGUAGCCUUAUUA